GGGGCCGUAGCUCAGAUGGGAGAGCGCUGCAAUCGCACUGCAGAGGUCGUCGGUUCGAUCCCGAUCGGCUCCACCA
This 76-nucleotide transfer RNA is filed under the name Hyphomicrobium sp. RNAcentral describes it as "tRNA-Ala". It matches the Rfam family "tRNA". From Rfam's summary of the family: Transfer RNA (tRNA) molecules are approximately 80 nucleotides in length. Their secondary structure includes four short double-helical elements and three loops (D, anti-codon, and T loops). RNAcentral also lists the same sequence under 1 other name. Lineage: Bacteria; Pseudomonadati; Pseudomonadota; Alphaproteobacteria; Hyphomicrobiales; Hyphomicrobiaceae. The record is from RNAcentral.